Molecule: ribosomal RNA, 482 nt
Filed under: uncultured Sphingobacteriales bacterium
Lineage: Bacteria; Pseudomonadati; Bacteroidota; Sphingobacteriia; Sphingobacteriales
Description: bacterial SSU rRNA
Rfam family: Bacterial small subunit ribosomal RNA
Source: RNAcentral
UUAAAGGAAGUUGACGGGGCCCGGCACAAGCGGAGGAGCAUGUGGUUUAAUUCGAUGAUACGCGAGGAACCUUACCUGGGCUCGAACGUAAGAUGACUGUAGGUGAAAGCUUACAUCUCUUCGGAGCAUUUUACGAGGUGCUGCAUGGUUGUCGUCAGCUCGUGCCGUGAGGUGUCGGGUUAAGUCCCAUAACGAGCGCAACCCCUACCUUUAGUUGCCAUCAGGUUAAGCUGGGGACUCUAAAGGAACUGCCUACGCAAGUAGUGAGGAAGGCGGGGAUGACGUCAAAUCAGCACGGCCCUUACGUCCAGGGCUACACACGUGCUACAAUGGCCGAUACAGAGGGCAGCUACCUGGUGACAGGAUGCAAAUCUCCAAAGUCGGUCUCAGUUCGGAUCGGAGUCUGCAACCCGACUCCGUGAAGUUGGAUUCGCUAGUAAUCGCGCAUCAGCCAUGGCGCGGUGAAUACGUUCCCGGGCCUU